Molecule: ribosomal RNA, 472 nt
Filed under: uncultured bacterium
Lineage: Bacteria
Description: partial 16S ribosomal RNA
Rfam family: Bacterial small subunit ribosomal RNA
Source: RNAcentral
GACGAACGCUGGCGGCGUGCUUAACACAUGCAAGUCGAACGAUGAACCCGGAGCUUGCUCUGGGGGAUUAGUGGCGAACGGGUGAGUAACACGUGAGUAACCUGCCCUGGACUCUGGGAUAAGCGUUGGAAACGACGUCUAAUACCGGAUAGGACCUUGGAUCGCAUGAUCUGGGGUGGAAAGUUUUUUCGGUCUGGGAUGGACUCGCGGCCUAUCAGCUUGUUGGUGAGGUAAUGGCUCACCAAGGCGUCGACGGGUAGCCGGCCUGAGAGGGUGACCGGCCACACUGGGACUGAGACACGGCCCAGACUCCUACGGGAGGCAGCAGUGGGGAAUAUUGCACAAUGGGCGAAAGCCUGAUGCAGCAACGCCGCGUGCGGGAUGACGGCCUUCGGGUUGUAAACCGCUUUUAGUAGGGAAGAAGGGCUUCGGCUUGACGGUACCUGCAGAAAAAGAACCGGCUAACUACGUG